This 378-nucleotide unclassified non-coding RNA is filed under the name fungal sp. RNAcentral describes it as "partial internal transcribed spacer region". The stretch from base 1 to 46 matches the Rfam family "Eukaryotic small subunit ribosomal RNA", at positions 1786 to 1831 of the family's 1831-position model. Lineage: Eukaryota; Fungi. The record is from RNAcentral.
AAGUCGUAACAAGGUUUCCGUAGGUGAACCUGCGGAAGGAUCAUUAUCACGUUGCAAAACACUUAUCAACCUUGCGUGCACUCGGUUCCUUCAGAAUAUUUUAUGGGUUUGGUGGUUUUUGGGUUGUUUGUUGAAGUGGUUUGGAACACCCGCCAUCUUUGGUCUCACAGUCUUUUGAUUGUUCGACCAGCCCUGUUCUGAAGAGCUGUUUUUUGCGGUACCACCUCAGCCGCGUCUUGUUUCACCUUUUUUCUUUUUAAACCCCUGUACGAUUAAUGAACUGAUUUGGUUCUUUUGUCUGGUCAUUCAGUUGAUCUGCGAAAGAAUUCACUUACAAAAACAUCAAAACAACUCUUAACAACGGAUAUCUUGGUUCCC